This 514-nucleotide ribosomal RNA is filed under the name uncultured bacterium. Its description in RNAcentral is "partial 16S ribosomal RNA". It matches the Rfam family "Bacterial small subunit ribosomal RNA", at positions 28 to 523 of the family's 1533-position model. The record is from RNAcentral.
GAUGAACGCUGGCGGCGUGCCUAAUACAUGCAAGUCGAGCGAACAGAUGAGAAGCUUGCUUCUCUGAUGUUAGCGGCGGACGGGUGAGUAACACGUGGGUAACCUACCUAUAAGACUGGGAUAACUCCGGGAAACCGGGGCUAAUACCGGAUAAUAUUUUGAACCGCAUGGUUCAAUAGUGCAAGACGGUUUCGGCUGUCACUUAUAGAUGGACCCGCGCCGUAGUAACUAGUUGGUAAGGUAACGGCUUACCAAGGCGACGAUACGUAGCCGACCUGAGAUGGUGAUCGGCCACACUAGAACUGAGACACGGUCCAGACUCCUACGGGAGGCAGCAGUAGGGAAUCUUCCGCAAUGGGCGGAAGCCUGACGGAGCAACGCCGCGUGAGUGAUGAAGGUCUUCGGAUCGUAAAACUCUGUUGUUAGGGAAGAACAAAUUUGUUAGUAACUGAACAAGUCUUGACGGUACCUAACCAGAAAGCCACGGCUAACUACGUGCCAGCCGCCGCAGUAA